Molecule: long non-coding RNA, 620 nt
Filed under: Oryza brachyantha (malo sina)
Lineage: Eukaryota; Viridiplantae; Streptophyta; Magnoliopsida; Poales; Poaceae
Description: long non-coding RNA (OBRA_LNC001978)
Source: RNAcentral
UUCAGAGCACAUAAAGUAAAUUUUAAUUAAAACCGACAAAAAAUAAAAACGCACAGCUAAGUACAUACAAUCUGUCAACGAAUGAUAAAUAUGCGCGUGCGCAUCUAAUUAAUUAAGCAUAUGAUUACAUAAAAUUAUAGGGUUUAAACUGGAAGCAAAUUCAUCACAUUAUUCCAACUCUUGGUCCAUCGAUCAUCGUCGAUGAUGAACUUGGCUUAAUUUGGAGAUCGUCGUCGUCGUCGUCAGCCGUCACCAUUAGCUAGCUCUUGGCGUCACGGCACCUCUCCAUGGCCAGGCACCCCCGCGAGUAGCGGUUGGCGGCGGGGCCGAUGCGCUGGAAGCCCCGGCGGCCCGGCGCGCCGUCGGCGAACAGCCCCUGGUAGCUGAUGAAAGUGCCCGACGACGGCAGCUGGGACGUUUGCAUGCCGGGACGGUGGUGACGCCGGCCGUGGCCGCGCCCGCGCCCGGACACGCCGUGGACGGCCAGGACCAGGAAGAGGAGGAGGAGGAGGAGGCUCGCCGCCGCCGGCGACCUGGUGGCCAUUGCUAAUCUCUUGCGCCUUGCUUGCUUGCUUUCUGUGUUAAUUAGCUCUAAUUACAUAGGCACUUAUCUUGUCAGG